AAAAAGGACUCUCGGCAACGGAUAUCAAGGCUGUCGCAUCGAUGAAGAACAUAGCAAAAUGCGAUACUUGGUGUGAAUUGCAGAAUCCCGUGAACCAUAGAGUCUUUGAACGCAAGUUGCGCCCGAAGCCAUUAGGCCGAGGGCACGUCUGCCUGGGCAUC
This 161-nucleotide ribosomal RNA is filed under the name Capsicum frutescens (tabasco pepper). Its description in RNAcentral is "5.8S ribosomal RNA". It matches the Rfam family "5.8S ribosomal RNA". From Rfam's summary of the family: 5.8S ribosomal RNA (5.8S rRNA) is a component of the large subunit of the eukaryotic ribosome. Lineage: Eukaryota; Viridiplantae; Streptophyta; Magnoliopsida; Solanales; Solanaceae. The record is from RNAcentral.